RNAcentral lists this transfer RNA (63 nucleotides) under Pedionis papillata. Its description in RNAcentral is "tRNA-Glu". Lineage: Eukaryota; Metazoa; Arthropoda; Insecta; Hemiptera; Cicadellidae. The record is from RNAcentral.
AUUUAUAUAGUUUAUUUAAAACAUUUUAUUUUCAUUAAAAAAAAGGUAAAAACCCUAUAAAUU